ACCUCGUGGUUGAAAUUCAACUCUGUGGAGAAACUCCAACAUGGUGGCUUGUUCUUCCAGCCUAAGCGACUGAUGUCUCAACUCUUAAUUGACAACACAAACCAGCGAGAUUGAUGUGACCGACUGCUGAAUGUGCCAGCAGAUACACAGCACUAGAUUACUAACAGAAGCACUCAAAUAAACAAAUGUCUUUCACAUUUCAACUCUUAGUGACAACACAGCGAGACUGACUACUGCAUGCGUAUGUGGAGGUGCAAUACAAGCUCUAUAUCAUUAUAUGGACUGAACAGUGCAGUGUUGGAAGCAAGCACACGUUAGACAAGUCUUAACUCUGCAAGAGUGUACUGGAGCUAGGUUGUUUCCCAAGGGGUAGUCACUCCAAUGCCAUUGAAAUUUGUAAACAAGAGUCUCUACAGUAUGAUGGGAGUUCAAUGAAGUUUUGGAUAACACCUGCAUGUCCUGUUGUUAUUGUCUGUUGGUUACCACCUGGGCACUCCCCUGGACUCUGAGACAACCCUCAGUUGUGAGAAGUAGACUGAUGAAAUAAUAAUGGUCUGUUGCUUGCAAGUUCGUUUCCCGUUUCUAUGCUAUCAAGAUCGUGACAGAAAUGAAAGUAGUGUGACUGUCUCUCUUCCUUCGACUGAGCUCUGUACGUAUCAGGUGAAAUAAAUACAGAUAUUACACUUUGCCCAUUCACUGUCCAAUAGUGCAUGCAAAGUAAUGUCCCACUGCAAGGUAUCUAAGUUUGUUCAUCAUUGUUAGAAUAUUCCAUAGAGAAGAAACGCUCUCGAUGUUUCAAUGCUUAUACAUAAUUAUAUGAUUGAUUUUGAUGGGGUACACACUCAGAACAAGUGUUAUGGGCAAAGUGUAUGACUGUCAGGGUGCUCUAUCUGUUUUAUUGUUUGGGAGAAGGUAAAUUGAAUAUAAAGGAAGUUUGGAGAGGGUCCCCCUAUAGGGAACAUUUUUCAUAUGGAUUCUCAGAAUGAAAGCCUGAUGCCAUUUAUAUAGCUUUUGAAAUUAAGAAUUUGCAGAUAGUAAAGUAUCCUCUGUAUAAUGCCUAUAGGGGGUUCGAGAGCUGGAAUCCCCCUCCUGCAUGUUAGUAUAUAAUCUUUCCAUCAAAAUGGAAAACGUUGAAGACCAGAGCUAUAGUUGAAGAUGAUCGGUUUUUGAAAGAUUUCCACACGUGGUGGUAGCCUACAUUAAUAAGAGUUGCACCUUGCCAACCUCUGAGCCCUCCUAUACUUGUCUAAAAUUGCUACGCCUUGCACUAUUGCAUGUCUUAAAUCAGAUAGGAUACUGAGUGACAUUGGUGUGUUAACGUAACCCCAUGUUGUAAGGACAACAAUGGAGGAAAUGCUAGAUCCAAUAAAGCCAAUGCUAUUGUGUGGUUAAUUAGCAAUUGUCCAGUUCAUUCUUAUGGCAACAGUAGGAGGACAAGUGCUGUGGUCGACUUCCCUCAUGACCCCUUUAAACAAUCCAACAAACUAAAACUUACCGGGGGAGUUCGUAGUAGCUGCUUGGAAGUUUUCUGAACGGGGGUGGUUGUUCUAAAAGUAUUUUCAUGGUAUAAAGGCAAAUAAAUAAAUAAUUCAGACAUUCGUGAUACUACAACUAUAUCCCUUUAGACUUCAAAAUCACGUAGAAACUUCCUAAACAGUGCCUACCAUAAUUAUAGCAGGUAAAUUUGGGGAGCCUAAUAUUUCGCAAAGAGGCAAUUCUUAUCUAUAUUAUUGGUGAUUUUUAAUUUGAUAAUUGUGCUGUGUGGUAUUAUUGACCUCAUGCGAUACUGUGGCUCAACCUGGCUAAAAAUCAAGCAAAAAAAAACAUUGGUGCUAUUUUUAAUUUUGGCGCCCCUCACCUUUUGAAUUGGCAUAUUGCCAUGGUUACUAUAAAUUCUCACCCUGACGUUUAAUCUUGACUUCUGCUCAUCUCUGACUGAUUGCAGCUGAAAUUCAUUUGUCGCCAAAUGCAAAAAUUUCUGGUUGAUUAUAUACAUUUGAAACUGGAACACUUUUGUGCUUGUCGUAUAAUAAAGCUGUGUUCUCAUUUUUACUGCAUUUACUAGUUUUUGGAGUUAUUAUUAUUGAAUUCUUUAAGCCCCCAGCCCACAAAUCAUGGCCGUUAUUCUGAAUUAAAGUAUACUUACAGAAAUGACACAAUGUAUUAGUUCAGUAAACAUAAGUUACAAAGUGAUUUUGAUUCUUGCUAUUCUUCGCAACCUUUCUGCUGUGUGUCAUGAGACUAGAUUCAGACAUGCAUCUUAAUUAUGUACGGCUAGUAGAAGGCAGGAUCUGUACAUUGUAAUGUGUUAGUGUAGAUAUUGGCAAACACUGAAGCGCAGUUGAGAACUCAAACUCAUGGAUUUUUAUCGAGGUUACAUAACUUAUGAUGUACAUGUAAGUCAAGUGUUCAGUGGGUAUGCCUAUGAUUGGAAGCAGAUUAGUUUUUAGACGAUGCCUUUACACUCUUGAGUACCCAGUCUAUCCCAUCAUGCAUGUUGAGAUCAAAGUUAUUCAUGGCACAUUGUAUAUGUAUGUAUACUGCUCUCAAAUGCAUGCUGUAAGUACUGCAGUUGGUCUAAGUCUGGUAUUAUACUUAAAUUAGCAACUACUCACUUUUUACCAUCUACCCUUUACAGUGAGUAAACAUCAAAGCAUGUACAAUUACCUAGUACGUAUAAUAAUUCCAAUAGGCACAGCUCUAUGGUACCCAAAACCAGACUCAAUGGUACAAUAUUCUAAUAUUCUCGCUGAUAGCUAGGGCUAAGUGUCCUACUCACCGCAAUCCCUUCUUCAGUUUUGGCCGAGCAUGGUUGUAUCUGCCAUCGUCUGUCAGUCAGCUCAGCUAUAGCUUCAUAUCGUUGCUGAUCUGUGGGGAAUGAAAUGAUGAUCACACAAUUCUUGUAGGUACAUCAGUCAUGUAACUAAGGUCUACUCUCAGCUAGAAUAAACGGAAUAGUACACUUACAUCAUCAGCUUUUAAAGCCAUCCCUAGGUAUUGUUUAUUUGCAAACACUAGUAGGGGUACUCCAGUGAAUUUAUCCUCCACCAGAAGCUCAUCCAACUGUACUCGUGAUUCUUCUAGUCUACCAGAAUCAGUGCUAUCCACAAGUAGAUCUGAGGUGUCAAUGAUGUGGGCUUAGCAGGUUUUACCAUAAUAAUUAUAAUUAUAUAGACUAAAAUUAUAGCCGUACAUUUGUAUAUUAUUUUGUACAUACAUGCAUAGAUAAUAGAGACAGGGAUUGGAAACGUUCACGUGACCCAGUAUACAACCCACGUAGUGACAUCUUGCAGCUGUGUCGUAUGCGUGUCUCGCGGUUACAAGUGUUAAUUGUUUGUUUACUAUUCUACUCUUUUGACAAUUGGAUGGCUAUGAAUCUGCUUUAGACCACAAAACUGUGUAGCCACCCCCGCAAUCAUCUUAUGUGUGCUAUACCAGUGUUAAAUCUCUGUUUUCUGCAGGAAAACCUCUAUGAAGAAAGGUUAGUAGAGAGUCAAAGUGUUACAAUAUACUUGUGGAGUUUUUAGAACUUUAUUAAAGUUUUCUGUACAUUUUUAGAAACAAGAGUAGGUUCAUUUGACAGCACUGUGUUGCACUGUCUUGUUGAUUAGUCCAAAUACAUGUUUAAGGACCAGUUGUAACAGUAAAUCAGUGCAGAAUCAUUGGUUGCUGUGUGGAGUUUUCCUGACCUUGCAAAUGAUUAAGAACAAGUGUUAAGGAGUCUCAUUUGCUAAGAAGUGGUUGUAGAAAUGCAUGGUUAAUAAAGAUUAACAUAUAAAUACUCUGAGAGAUCACAACAUUAAAAUGUCCUGCAUGUACAUGUACGUAUGUAUGUGUAGGUAAUACUGAUGGAACAUAGACAGUUUACGUUUGGUAAAUUAAAUGUAAUAAUGCUGAAAGGCACCGACUAGGGUCUUGAAGGCUCAAAACCAGCCCAACAGUGCACACAUACACAAUGAUCACAAUGAUUCCGUAUCAGAAAAGGUAAACUUAAUGGUAACAAUUUCGUUAUUGCUAUUGUUCACAGGUUCCAUCUCUUGCUGACAUCCAGUCUAGAUAUUUAUUAGUGCCGUCAUACAUCGAACAAAGUAGUAAUGGUGUUCUUCUCAUUUAUUUCAAUCUUGGCCAACUCCUGAGCUGCACCUUGAAACAUCGAUCACAGUUUGAGAUUUAAGUCUCCCUGGCCCUGAGCAAGCACUGCCACAAUUUUUUUCCACAGAUAUUGGUAAUCAAGCUCACUUGCUGCAGUACUACCAGUGACUGUUUCUGCCUAGCCUGUGCCUGGAGACUAGCUUGCUGCUUGCAUGCCAUAGGAAUAUUAAACUAUUGCCACCUGUCAUGUAACUCUAUUAAAUCCCCACCAUUAAUUGGUCACGUGAUGGAGACACGCAUAUGAACCAAGAAUGCUAUGAAUAUCAUUACGUUUCCAAUCCCUUUCUGUGCUCUAUUAUCUAUGAUACAUGUAGUACAAUCCUGGAUAUAGACGUGACAGUUUAUCUUUAUAUCUUAUAUACUUACGCUGACACUUCCUGUUGCCUGCAUAAAUAUAGUUUGCUGUUUGGUUGGCGGCGCUUUGAGCACUGGAGCACCGCAACAACCAUCUUUUUGGUGAAGAUCUCACAAAACGAAUAUACCACGUAAAUGAAUGUUUGCAUUAUUUAGACACGUAUAAUCGAAUGUCGCUAAUAGUCGCACUCUCCAGCUCGUUUACUCAUAUUCAAUGUCUGCACGUAACGAUAAUAGACGUGUACUACUAAACCAAUCACCAUGCCUAUAGGCUGACACAAGAACCGCCUUCUUGAGUUCCGCUGCCCACUGCUUUCAGCCCUUCUUGAAGGCCACUUCCCACUGCCACGAUUUCUUUUACAGUCCUCAUUUUAUAUCUUACACAGCCAAAAAUCCACGGGUCCGUUUCAGGCCGUUAGUUGAAAACGGGCCGUUACGGGCCCGUGAACGGCCUGUAUACAGGAUGUAGCCCACCCACGUCCUGUAUACAGGCCGUUCUCACGGGCUGUAAACAGGACGUUAGCCCACGUCCUGUUUACAGCCCGUGGAUACAGGCCUGUAUCAGGGCGUAGCACCCACGUCCUGUAGCUUAUGCGCAUGCGCUAGCUUGGGGCAGGAUGACGUCACCUGACUACAAAAAGAGAAUGAGACAGACAGAGCUCUAAGAAAAAUCCUGCUGCUUGUCACAAGAGGAGCUGCUGGUCCAAAAAGACAACUUGAAGAGGACUAUACAGUCCAUUACUAUUAGUCUACCUGUGAACAGAAAAAGGUGAAGCUGUAGCAGCAUGUUAUUAUAACAGUUAUAUUAUUUUUAUUGAACUUUCUCAUAGCAGUUUGUGUUCCUCUAGUUCCACAGCUAUUUCAAAUCUGUAGUGAAUUUGACCUCUAGUGUAGUUGGCAGCAAAGGUCUGUAAAUUUCACCUCUACUGUAUGUUUAUAAAUUCAGGUUUGCACGUUGUUAUGGACUUGAAGCUGGAACACCGGCCAAUUUUACAAGGCUCCCAUCUGAAGUUUUUUCACUUUUGAUAAAGAGGUGUUGAAGAAUGCUCCCAGAUAAUGCUGCCGAGUUGAAGUCUGGACUAAUUACACACUAGAUGUUGUCAGAAGAAUGAACUAAAAAUAAAGCAACAGUUUCCUGUUGCGAGAUAUCUUCGAGAUGAAAAAGAGCCCUUGUAAUGUGUACAGCACACUGUAAGCUGUUGACUGACUUCAUAGUACGCCGGUAAGAUUAUUCACAGUGGUGUGUUCUUCUUUUAAUCUCCUAACUCUUAUUCAGAUGUUGCAAAACUCAAGGUUUGUUUAUUGUUUUCAUCUUUAGCACUCGUUACACAUGUUAUUUAAUAGAUUUCUUUAUUGGCAUGCCGAGUUGGAGUCUGGAUGUGUUAGAUUGAAGUUUUUAGACAAAUGAUAAAGAGAAUGCAACAAUUGCCUGCUGGCGAGCUAUCUCGGAGAUGAAGAACGGCCCUUCAAGCUGACUUCAUAGUACGCCGAGUCUAUCUUUGUGUAUCUGCACAAAAACAAGACGAAUAUAAAUACAUGCCACCGUGGGAUGUGAAGACACGGACAUGAUAAUGAGAGACAUAAUUAUAUAAUGUAGCUGAACAGAAAUUAAUAUAUCUUGUUCUUGUCUUCUUUGUCUUUGAAUUGUGACCUUUUGAA
Long non-coding RNA from Halichondria panicea, 6165 nucleotides. RefSeq lists it as uncharacterized. Lineage: Eukaryota; Metazoa; Porifera; Demospongiae; Suberitida; Halichondriidae. The transcript is spliced from 13 exons. The record is from RefSeq and is a predicted model, not a curated record.